CCCCCCUCCCCUUUUUCUUUUUCUUUUCUCGAGUGAGGAUUUUCCCUCGCCCUUAGUGGGGUCGCGGGAGCACGGAGGGGCCGCUGAGAAGGUUUUCUUUUUCUUAUCUGGUCUUGAAUGACCAGACCUUAAUUGGUGUCAGGACGAGGUCCUUCCUCUAUUUCUGAUGUAAUCGAUUUCAGCUCAGGUUAGGACGAGGCUCUCCUUCUAUUCCUAAUUGGGCUAUGGGGGCACAUAUGGGCGUUGUAGGACCUCUCCUCCCAUCUGGUCUAAGGGUAACCAGGCCUUUGCCUUUGCUCAUGUUAAGGCGAGGUUCUCCUCCUGUCCCUAACAGGGCUGUGGGGGCACAUAUGGGCGUUGCAGGGCCUCUCCCCCCAUCCAAUCUAAGUGUAACCGGGCCUUCGACUUUGCUCCUGUUAGGACGAGGUUCUCCUCCUGUCCCUAACAAGACUGUGG
Molecule: long non-coding RNA, 456 nt
Filed under: Elaeis guineensis (African oil palm)
Lineage: Eukaryota; Viridiplantae; Streptophyta; Magnoliopsida; Arecales; Arecaceae
Description: long non-coding RNA (EGUI_LNC068481)
Source: RNAcentral